CUUUUAAUGUUACAAUGAUAUUCUCUGAAUCUUCUGAACUCCUUUUCUCCCUAUGAUAACCCUCUACUGGAGUACUCUGAUGUACCAUUUUAUUGUUAUUCUUCAUCAUGACAUUCCCUUUUGCUAAGCUAUACAAUAUAUACAUAGAAAACGAUACACAUAACCACCACAUCACGACAGCUGUUUUCUUGCACUUCAUAUUCCUUAUGUGGGCUGCUCUUCCAGGGAUCCACACCAUCUCCUAUUAUCUGGAAAAGAGAGCUAAGAGAAUAUGUUAACAUUUACAUUAACUUGGCACAUCAUUUUUUCCUCUAAAGGCUUUUAUUUGACAUGCAUGCGUCCAUCUAAAGUUCUCAUCUCCCACAUCUAACAAAUACACAGAGGGUCCAAUUUUGUCAAGCACAAAAUAUGGACCUUUCCAUUUAGGUUUUGGAAAUGGGUGGUGAGGGGAAAAAUCUUGCAACAUUACUCUGUCUCCAAUCUGAU
Molecule: non-coding RNA, 486 nt
Organism: Pelobates cultripes (western spadefoot toad)
Lineage: Eukaryota; Metazoa; Chordata; Amphibia; Anura; Pelobatidae
Source: the annotation of a GenBank genome assembly